GAUGAACGCUGGCGGCGUGCCUAAUACAUGCAAGUCGAGCGAACAGAUAAGGAGCUUGCUCCUUUGACGUUAGCGGCGGACGGGUGAGUAACACGUGGGUAACUUACCUAUAAGACUGGAAUAACUCCGGGAAACCGGGGCUAAUGCCGGAUAACGUGUUGAACCGCAUGGUUCUACAGUGAAAGGCGGCUUUGCUGUCACUUAUAGAUGGACCCGCGCCGUAUUAGCUAGUUGGUGAGGUAACGGCUCACCAAGGCAACGAUACGUAGCCGACCUGAGAGGGUGAUCGGCCACACUGGAACUGAGACACGGUCCAGACUCCUACGGGAGGCAGCAGUAGGGAAUCUUCCGCAAUGGGCGAAAGCCUGACGGAGCAACGCCGCGUGAGUGAUGAAGGUCUUCGGAUCGUAAAACUCUGUUAUUAGGGAAGAACAAAUGCGUAAGUAACUGUGCGCGUCUUGACGGUACCUAAUCAGAAAGCCACGGCUAACUACGUG
This 497-nucleotide ribosomal RNA is filed under the name uncultured bacterium. RNAcentral's name for it is "partial 16S ribosomal RNA". It matches the Rfam family "Bacterial small subunit ribosomal RNA", at positions 28 to 507 of the family's 1533-position model. The record is from RNAcentral.